This 3225-nucleotide transfer RNA is filed under the name Homo sapiens (human). Its description in RNAcentral is "HSALNT0295646". The stretch from base 2925 to 2995 matches the Rfam family "tRNA". Lineage: Eukaryota; Metazoa; Chordata; Mammalia; Primates; Hominidae. The record is from RNAcentral.
AGACUGAGUUUCCCUCUUGUCACCCAGGCUGAAGCGCAGUGGCACGCUCUGGGCUCACUGCAACCUCUGCCUCCUGAGUUCAAGAGAUUCUCCUGCCUCAGCCUCCCAAGUAGCUGGGAUUACAGGCCCAUGCCACCACACCCGGCUAAUUUUUGUAUUUUUAGUAGAGACAGGAUUUCACCAUGUUGGCCGUGCUGGUCUUGAACUCCUGACCUCAAGUGAUUUGCCUGCUUUGGCCUCCCAAAGUGCUGGGAUUACAGACAUGAGUCACCAUGCCCUGCCUGCAGCUUCUUCUUGAAGUGUUCUGGACUUGGAAGAUUUGUUGAAUUACUAUGAAGUCACAUCUAAAGUUUGAAAGAGAUCGGGUCUCACUAUUUUGCCCACGCUGGUCUUGAACUCCUGUCCUCAAGCAGGAUAUCCUCCUGCCUUGGCCUCCCAAAGUUCUGGGAUUACAGUCUCGCUCUGUCGCCAGGCUGGAGUGCACGCUGGAGCGCGAUCUUGUCUUACUACAACCUCUGCCUCCCAGAUUCAAGCGAUUUUCCUGCCUCAGCCUCCCGAGUAGCUGGGACUACAGGGACGCACCACCAUGCCCAGCUAAUUUUUGUAUUUUUAGUAGAGAUGUGGUUUCACCAUGUUGGCCAGGAUGGUCUUGAUCUCUUGACCUCGUGAUCCACCCGCCUCGGCUUCCCAAAGUGCUGGGAUUAUAGGCAUAAGCCACCACGCCUGGCCUGAAAUUAUUUUUCUAUACAGUUCUUAGAGGAAGUGUUUGGGUCACCUACAUAGGCAUGUAGUUCUUGACACUGGUUACUAGAGGAUUUAUAGAGGAUGUUCAUAUAUUCAACAAGCAUUUGUUGAAUACCUAUUAGGUGCUAGCCAUGGAAAUAUGGGAUUGAAAAAAACAGACAAAAAUCCCUAAUCUCUCUUACAAUCUAGUGAGGACAAUCAGACAGUACACAAAAUAAGCAUAAUAUAUAGUAAUCAUGUGGUAGUAAGUUCUAUAGAGCAAAAACAAGUUUAAAGAAGGAGGUUGGGGGGAGUGUUGAGAUGCAUAAGGUUUGCAGUUAUAAAUGUGGUGGUUAGGGAAUCAUUUGCUGAAAAAUGAACAUUGAGCAAAAACCUGAAGGAUGUUAAAGGAAUAAGAUACAUGUAAUCCAGAUGAAAGUUUUUUGGAUAAAGGAAAGAGCAAUUGCUAAAUCCCUGAGGUGGGAGUGGGCUGUUCAUAAGACAGCAAAGCAGCCAGGGUAGCUGAGUGAUUGACAGCGGAAGAUGGAAAAUGGGGAAUAGUUGGUGUAGGACCUAGUUGUGAGGAUAUUGACUUUGUUUUUUUUCCAAGACAGAGCUGUGCUCUGUCGCCCAGGCUAGAGUGCAGUGGCAUGAUCUUGGCUCACUGCAAUCUCCGCCUCCCGGGUUCAAGCAAUGCUCCUGCCUUAGCCUCCCCAGUAGCUGGGAUUACAGGCACCUGCCACCAUGUCCAAUUAAUUUUUGUAUUUUUAGUAGAGAUGGGGUUUCGCCAUGUUAGCCAGGCUGGUCUUGGACUCCUGACCUCAAGUGAUCUGCCCGCCUCAGCCUCCCAAAGUGCUGGGAUUACAGGCGUGAGCCACCAUGCCCACCCUAGGAUAUUUACUUUUAUUUUGAAUAAGGAUGCCACUGGAGGCCAGACGUGGUGGCUAACGCCUAUAAUCCCAGCACUUUGGGAGGACGAGGCGGGUGGAUCACGAGGUUAGGAGAUUGAGACCAUCCUGGCCAACAUGGUGGAACCCCGUCUCUACUAAAAAAAAAAAAAAAAUUAGCCAGGUGUGGUUGCAUGCGCCUGUAGUCCCAGCAACUCAGGAGGCUGAGGAAGGAGAAUCACUUGAACCCGGGAGGUGGAGGUUGCAGUGAGCCGAGAUCGCCCCACUGUACUCCAGCCUGGGUGACAGAGCAAGACUCUGUCUCAAAAAAAAAAAAAAAAAAAAAUGCCACUGGAGAGCUUUGAGGAGAGGAUCAGUCUGGCUACUGGGUUGGGAAUUAAUCAUAGCAGGCAAAGGCAAAAGAAGUGAGGUUAGUUAGGAGGCUUUACAACAACCCAGAUGAGAGAUGGGAGGUUUUAGCCAGGGAGAUGGAGAUGUUGAGAGAGUAGCUGGACUCAGGAUUGUGACAGUGGACUGAAGGAAAAGCAGGUUUUGGGGGAAGAUUGCAUUUCUCCCUUCAACUUCAGUUACGUAGAUCACCCAUAUGCCACACAACUGCAACUCUGUAACAGCCAAUUUUUAGCUUCUUCCUUAUCUAAGCCAUCCUGUAGGCCAUAGGAAUUAAAACUAGGUUGGAUCAAGGAAAAGUGAAUGCUAGAUCCAUACAAAACUAUUUGGAUAUUUGCCUUUGUAUUUUAUUGUUUUGAAAUUAUUUUUAAUGGUUCAAUAAACUCUUACUAGAACUACAAGCAAUAUAAUUAUUUCCUCUGCUUUAUUAGAAAUGUUUUUGUAAUCAUGUUAAUUAUAUUACUUUUAACUAUAUAAGGCUUGUGUCUCUUUUUUAUAAAUUGAUGUUUAUAUCCUCUGUAAGAUAAAUAUAAAGGCUUUUUGUUCAUAUGAGGAUGUGCUGUAAGAUUGCAGGGAGUAUAAAAAUUGGCAAUGGAGUAGGUGACUUGUAUUAUUAGUCUGAUCUUAAUGUUGUAACAUACUGAUCAUGCAAAAUAUAUAAUUAGUUUGUUUUUGCUAUUUAAUAUGUGUAGGACUGUAACAAACAGACUAGAGAAGAUGGCCAUAAGUUACAAGAAAGCAAGUAAAUUACUAUCUAAUUAAAAGUAUUUGAUUCUAAUACUAGCAGAGUUCUGUCUAGAAAAUAAAUUAACUUUCUGUAUGCUUUUUUUGGUCUCAAUUUUCCAAUAAUUUCCCUCAACUCUGAUAUGUGUCUGUUGAAUAAUAUUUCUGAUGUUAAGAAUUAAAGGGGGUGUAGAUCAGUGGUAGGGCGCACGCUUAGCAUGCAUGAGGCCCUGGGUCAAUCCCCAGCACCUCCACAAAGGUUUUCUGGCUGGACACGGUGGCUCACACCUGUAAUCUCAGCAUUUUGGGAAGCUGAGUUGGACAGAUCACUAGAGGUCAGGAGUUCGAGACCAGCGUGGCCAACAUGGUGAAACCCUAUUUCUACUAAAAAUACAAAAAAAUUAGCCGGUCACGGUGGCACACACCUGUAAUCUCAGCUACUUGGGAGGCUGAGGCAUGACAAUCGCUUGAACCUGGAAGGCGG